Molecule: unclassified non-coding RNA, 89 nt
Filed under: Arabidopsis thaliana (thale cress)
Lineage: Eukaryota; Viridiplantae; Streptophyta; Magnoliopsida; Brassicales; Brassicaceae
Description: partial MIR396a microRNA precursor
Source: RNAcentral
ACAACUUCAACUUCCCUCUUUCUCUAUAUUACGCUUUUGCCCCUCACUCCCUCUUUCCACAAUUAGGGUUUCGUCUGCUCUACAUGACC